UGACAGUAUCACAUAGUAGGAAGCCAGUUGAGUCCGGGGGUUUGCUUUUGUAUGUUGCUUUAGGCAGUUUGGACUCCAAGACUGCCCCUGUAUUAAAUUAGGCUUUACUAUAUAUAAGCGUGUAUUGACAUUUUUGGUAGUGACGGGGAUUUAUGUGAGAAAGAUUGGUUUGUAUACAAAUAGCAAGCUAAGAAUUGAUCUAUCCUAUUGCAUGUUGUCUGGGAUGGAGUGUUUUGUAUUAUGAAGUGUAGAUCGAACUUGAAAUUUGAAGUCUUUUUUUUUU
This 283-nucleotide unclassified non-coding RNA is filed under the name Hevea brasiliensis (rubber tree). Lineage: Eukaryota; Viridiplantae; Streptophyta; Magnoliopsida; Malpighiales; Euphorbiaceae. The record is from RNAcentral.